This 459-nucleotide ribosomal RNA is filed under the name uncultured bacterium. Its description in RNAcentral is "partial 16S ribosomal RNA". It matches the Rfam family "Bacterial small subunit ribosomal RNA", at positions 338 to 795 of the family's 1533-position model. The record is from RNAcentral.
CCUACGGGUGGCAGCAGUGAGGAAUAUUGGUCAAUGGGCGGGAGCCUGAACCAGCCAAGCCGCGUGAGGGAAGAAGGUCCAGCGUAUCGUAAACCUCUUUUGUCAGGGAACAAAGGCGGGGACUAGUCCCCGGAUGAGGGUACCUUAAGAAAAAGCAUCGGCUAACUCCGUGCCAGCAGCCGCGGUAAUACGGAGGAUGCGAGCGUUAUCCGGAUUUAUUGUGUUUAAAGGGAUCGCCGGCGGCUGAUUAAGUCAGCGGUAAAAGCCCGGGGCGCAACCCAGGCGAGCCGUUGAAACUGGCGGGCUGGAGGUGGAGUGAAGUGCGCAGAAUGCGCGGUGUAGCGGUGAAAUGCGUAGAGAUCGCGCAGAACCCCGAUGGCGAAGGCAGCGUACCGGCUCCACACUGACGCUGAGGCACGAAAGCGUGGGUAUCGAACAGGAUUAGAUACCCAAGUAGUC